RNAcentral lists this ribosomal RNA (1054 nucleotides) under Amynthas sp. 3 QZ-2012. RNAcentral describes it as "12S ribosomal RNA". Lineage: Eukaryota; Metazoa; Annelida; Clitellata; Crassiclitellata; Megascolecidae. RNAcentral also lists the same sequence under 1 other name. The record is from RNAcentral.
ACUCGAUAAUCCACGAAUACCCAACCUUCUCUUGAUGUUACAGCAUGUGUACUGGCCGCUGUAAGCAUACCUUUAAAAGAACAAGUGUGCCGCUAUGACUAAUAAAUAACUCAUAUACAUCAGGUCAAAGUGCAGCUAAUAAGAAGGUGACGAUGGGUUACAACCCCCAAAAAGACUAUCAACUAAGAAAUAAAAAAUCUUAAGAAAGUGGACUUGGCUGUAAUUAAUUUACAAGUUAAAAAAAUGAAUAAACACCUAAGACAUGCACACAUCGCCCGUCACUCUACCCUAAAGGGUAGAUAAGUCGUAACAAAGUAGGUGUAAUGGAAAUUGUACCUGUCGAAGUAUAGCAUAUAUAAUGCUUUUUACUUACACUAAAGACAAAGUUAAAUAACUUGCUUCGCCCACUAAAUACAAUCUUAUAAAUAAACAAAUAAUAAAAACAACUAAAAUAAAAUAUAAUAAAUAAUAAAGUACAGAAAUGGAAAUAAUAAUUAAUAAAAGUAAUUAUUAAUAAAUAUACCUUGUGCAUUAUGGUUUUACAAGAAAAUAAUUAAAGAUAAAAAUCCCGAAUUCUAAAUGAGAUGUUAAACUGCUGUUAUGAACCCACUAAUAGAUGUAGAAUAAUCUUUAAAAGACAGUUUAACAGAGGCUACAUACCAUCCGCAUAAGAAUAUAGCUGGUUUUCAACAAACAUUAUACAUUAAAACAUGUAGUAGUACUAUAGUGUAAUACUAUUGAGGAUAAGCCCAAUAAUUGGAGCAAUUUAUAGAUAAACCAAUCUUCGCCAAUAGGCCUAAAAUCAGCCAACUAAAAUACUUUAUCGUAAUACACAAUGAUAAAAUAUAUAACCAUAAAAUGCUAAAGAAAGUUGAAACAAUGGAUAAACCACCUGCCCCACUUCUACUAUGUAAAAAUAAGUAUUACAAACACAAAUUAAUAAUAACCUAGUAAAUAACACCAAAUAAGCAACAAUAAUUAAUUAAGGAACUCGGCAAAACAUUAUUUCGACUGUUUAACAAAAACAUUGUCUCAUGAAUUAUAUAUGAGAUAA